CAGUAGCCACGGUAAUACGUAGGGUGCAAGCGUUAUCCGGAAUUAUUGGGCGUAAAGAGCUCGUAGGCGGUUUGUCGCGUCUGCUGUGAAAACUGGAGGCUCAACCUCCAGCCUGCAGUGGGUACGGGCAGACUAGAGUGCGGUAGGGGAGAUUGGAAUUCCUGGUGUAGCGGUGGAAUGCGCAGAUAUCAGGAGGAACACCGAUGGCGAAGGCAGAUCUCUGGGCCGUAACUGACGCUGAGGAGCGAAAGCUAGGGGAGCGAACGGGAUUAGAUACCCCAGUAGUCCCUGUCUCUUAUAC
Molecule: ribosomal RNA, 301 nt
Filed under: uncultured bacterium
Lineage: Bacteria
Description: partial 16S ribosomal RNA
Rfam family: Bacterial small subunit ribosomal RNA
Source: RNAcentral